Molecule: long non-coding RNA, 3122 nt
Organism: Marmota monax (woodchuck)
Lineage: Eukaryota; Metazoa; Chordata; Mammalia; Rodentia; Sciuridae
Exons: 8
Source: RefSeq, a predicted model, not a curated record
AUCUGAAAGAACAUCACAAUUUAUUAUAUUAUUAUUGGUAUUAAUGUGCCAAUUUCUUCAUACUCUCAUCAAUGACAAAUAUCUCUCUCAAAAAUAUGUUGCCUGUCUGAUGAUGCCUGUUUAGAUUUUGCCAGCGUGAAGCACUUGAAGUAGACUGGACUCUGAGAAGAGGAGGAACCAUACUAUUUAUGCAUAGCCGGCUGGGGGAGUUGUAGUCGGACACAGUACCUUCAUUUUAUUUAUUUUUAUGUGGCACUGAGGAUCAAACCCAAGGCCUCACAUGUGCUAGAUUGUAUCAGAAGCCAAAAGAAGCCAUGAUUAUUGGGAGAAAGGGCUGGGAGUGAGUGUGGAAUGAAGGGAAGAGUAUUUCUAUAUAAGAGUUUAAAUAGAAGAAUUGCAGCAUGGAGUUUUGUGUGAAUAGGAUGGCAGAAAGUUUGUCAUGAGGAGGAGACUUUCUCUGUGCUUCCUGUUGUAAUGUCCUCAGCUGCUUUCCUCACCCUUCCACCAUCAUGUUCUGCUUCACUUCAAGCCCCAAGGAAUGGAGCCAACCAUCUAUGGACUGAGACCUCUGAAUUCAUUAGGUUAACUAUCUCCAGUUCUUCAAUCUUGUUUCACAAAUAAGAGAACAUAUCUACAGUGAAUUCAGGUGGAGCCACAUUUGUAGGAUAUUAGAAGGUUGUCUGCAUCUGGAAGAGGAGUGAAUUAGUUGUUCUAAACAAAACCAAAAACACAACAGCAAGUUCAACUAUUCUGUAGACCAAAAUUAGAGGAAAACAUCUCCCAGUAAUUUAGGCUGAUACUUCAGAAGUACUCCAGAAGAGAUGGAGGUGAAAGGAUGAUAGAGAACAGAUCCAAUACACAGGGGACGAGGUGGAAAGCCAAGAAGAAAAGCAGGGGAACAGAGUGUCAUCAUGUGAGCUGCUUCCCUCUUCCACACUCUCCCACCAUGAUGUUCUGCUUCACCUGGAGUCCUGAGGAACAGAACUGGCCUUCAAUGGACUAAGACCUCUGAAAUCGUGAGCCCUCAAAUAAACUUUCCUUCCCUAAAAGAAUUCUGGUCAGAUCUUUUAGUCCCAGCAGCGAAAAAUGCUGACUAAAACAGGCCCAUAGAUUAUUAUCUAUAUGAUUCGUAGUUUACUAUCUAUGUUAGUUUUCUGUUCAUAGUUUGUAAUUUACAUUAGUUUAUAUUAUAGUUUAUUAUGUAUAUUAUUUAGUUUUUGCUGCAUCAUAACACAGUCUUAAAACUGAUUUAAAGCUACAUCCAUUUGUUUAGUUCACAUUUUUGUGGGUAGGUAAUUUUAGCUGGGUUCACUUGCAAAGUUUUGUUGGACCUGUCUGGGCUUGACCAGCAGCUGCUGGUACUUGGGCUCAUUUAUAGAUCUGGAGGUUGGCUGGCUGUUGGCUGGAUGCAAGGCUGAGUUAUGUGUCUCUCAUCAGGAGUCAGGCCAGCCUAUGCUUUUUUGCAUAGUGGUACUUGCAGGAUUUCCAACAACAUCAAAUAGUCAAGAUCCAAUGUAGAGGCACUUUCUAAGCUUCUGCUUAUGUACCAUUCACUAAUAUUCUGCUGGUCAAAGAAAUCAAGUGGUCAAUCCAGAUUCAAGUAGUGAUUUCUUAAUAGGAGAAAUGGCAAAAAAAAAAAAAAAAUGUUGGCUUUGUUUUUUCCCAAUUUACCCUUAGGAUUAGUAUUUUCAAACUCAGUUUUAGAAAAGUGCUUAUGAGCUCCAUAUAUUGAACAUUCACCAAUACCCCAAGCAGGAUCUGGAACAACUCUCUAUUUUCAAUCCCUUUAGUGUUGCUACAGCAAAAUUGAUUAUCGUUGAUAAAGAUAAUAAACUGUAUCUGUCAGUUCAAGUGUAUUGUCCAAAAAUUAGUACCAAAUUUACAAACAACCAGUCAAAUAAAUAAAUUUGGUUGUAGGGGGAUUGGAAACUGAAUAAAUGACUGUAGACCUUCUGAAUGUGAGUUAAAAUUGGAUCAUAUAUAAGUUUUGGCAUAGGUUAAAGACAUAAUUAAAUGAAAGAAAGCAAGUUACAUAAAAAUAUUUGCUGCAAACAACAAUUAUAUAAAGUUUUAACAGAAAAUGUUGUGUAGAGAUACAUUUAAAGGCAUAUUUUGAUGAAAACAAAAAUUGAAAUAUAUAUACAAAUUUCAAGGAGGUAGUUGGUUCUGAAGAGAAAAAUGAUGACAAAAAUAUGUGAAGUGGAAAAUAAAUAUAAUUAAUUUUCAUUUUAAAUCUAUUUGAAGCAACAGAAACAAAUACAAAUGGAAAUUAUUAUAUGAUAUAAAUGAUAAAAAGUGAAACUCAAAUGACUAGGGAAAAUUCAUACAUUUACAUUAAUGGACCUGAGAACUUGAGGGACAUUCAAAACAUUAGAUCCUGCUGGACACAGGGUUACUCCUGUAAUCCCAGUGGCUCAGGAGGCUGAGGCAAAAGGAUUGCAAGUUCAAGACCAGCCAGGGCAGUUUAGCAAGACCCUGUCUCAAAAAUAAAAAGGGCUGGAGAUGUGGCUCAGUGGUUAAGUGGGUUCAAUCCCUGGUACCCAAAAGCUUAGAUUCUUACACUAUACACCAGAAUUAAUACCAAAUAAAUCAGAUAUUCUGUUGUUAAAAAUCAAGGAAAACUGGGGCUGGAGUUGUGGCUCAGAGGUAGAGUGCUUGCCUACCAUGUGUGAGACCCUAGGUUUGAUACUCAGCACCACAUAAAAAUAUAAAAUAAAAUAUAUUGUCCACCUAUAACUAAAAAAUAAAUAUAAAAAAAUCAAGGAAAACUAGUACUUUAAAAUUAAUCAUUUUUUUUUUAUAAACUGAGUGGAGAAAAUUUUCUGUGAUUAAAUUUGGUCAUGAAAACAAUGAGAAAGAUCUUAUGCUUUGAAAUUGCUAGAUCUAUAAGACAUAUUGCAGGGUAAGAAAGCAGAACAAUGUGUGUGGUAUACUUCCUUUUGAAUAACAGUAAAAACUCAAUAGUGCAAUGUACUGACAUUUGCUUAUGGGGAGGGAGGAGGCAAACAGGAUGAAAUAGCAAUGAACCCAUAAUUUCUUGUAAUAUAUGUGGCUUUGACUUUACAACCAUUUUCACCAUGCAUUCCUAAAUAAAUAAUUAAUUAAAAAACAUGAACAACAAA